RNAcentral lists this ribosomal RNA (335 nucleotides) under uncultured bacterium. Its description in RNAcentral is "bacterial SSU rRNA". It matches the Rfam family "Bacterial small subunit ribosomal RNA", at positions 335 to 672 of the family's 1533-position model. The record is from RNAcentral.
ACUCCUACGGGAGGCAGCAGUAAGGAAUAUUGCGCAACGGGCGACAGCCUGACGCAGCGACGCCGCGUGGGGGAUGAAGGUCUUCGGAUUGUAAACCCCUUUCGGCAGGGAAGAUGGAACGGGCAACCGUUCGGACGGUACCUGCAGAAGCAGCCACGGCUAACUUCGUGCCAGCAGCCGCGGUAAUACGAAGGUGGCAAGCGUUGUUCGGAUUUACUGGGCGUACAGGGAGCGUAGGCGGUUAGGUAAGCCCUCCGUGAAAUCUCCGGGCCUAACCCGGAAAGUGCAGAGGGGACUGCUUGGCUAGAGGAUGGGAGAGGAGCGCGGAAUUCCCG